RNAcentral lists this ribosomal RNA (497 nucleotides) under uncultured bacterium. RNAcentral describes it as "partial 16S ribosomal RNA". It matches the Rfam family "Bacterial small subunit ribosomal RNA", at positions 28 to 507 of the family's 1533-position model. The record is from RNAcentral.
GACGAACGCUGGCGGCGUGCCUAAUACAUGCAAGUAGAACGCUGAAGCUUGGUGCUUGCACCGAGCGGAUGAGUUGCGAACGGGUGAGUAACGCGUAGGUAACCUGCCUGGUAGCGGGGGAUAACUAUUGGAAACGAUAGCUAAUACCGCAUAAGAGUAGAUGUUGCAUGACAUUUGCUUAAAAGGUGCAAUUGCAUCACUACCAGAUGGACCCGCGUUGUAUUAGCUAGUUGGUGAGGUAACGGCUCACCAAGGCAACGAUACAUAGCCGACCUGAGAGGGUGAUCGGCCACACUGGGACUGAGACACGGCCCAGACUCCUACGGGAGGCAGCAGUAGGGAAUCUUCGGCAAUAGACGGAAGUCUGACCGAGCAACGCCGCGUGAGUGAAGAAGGUUUUCGGAUCGUAAAGCUCUGUUGUAAGAGAAGAACGAGUGUGAGAGUGGAAAGUUCACACUGUGACGGUAUCUUACCAGAAAGGGACGGCUAACUACGUG